Molecule: ribosomal RNA, 429 nt
Filed under: Pseudomonadota bacterium
Lineage: Bacteria; Pseudomonadati; Pseudomonadota
Description: Proteobacteria bacterium partial 16S ribosomal RNA
Rfam family: Bacterial small subunit ribosomal RNA
Source: RNAcentral
UGGGGAAUAUUGGACAAUGGGCGAAAGCCUGAUCCAGCCAUGCCGCGUGUGUGAAGAAGGUCUUCGGAUUGUAAAGCACUUUAAGUUGGGAGGAAGGGCAGUAAGCGAAUACCUUGCUGCUUUUACGUUACCGACAGAAUAAGCACCGGCUAACUCUGUGCCAGCAGCCGCGGUAAUACAGAGGGUGCAAGCGUUAAUCGGAAUUACUGGGCGUAAAGCGCGCGUAGGUGGUUCGUUAAGUUGAAUGUGAAAGCCCCGGGCUCAACCUGGGAACUGCAUCCAAAACUGGCGAGCUAGAGUAGGGCAGAGGGUGGUGGAAUUUCCUGUGUAGCGGUGAAAUGCGUAGAUAUAGGAAGGAACACCAGUGGCGAAGGCGACCACCUGGGCUCAUACUGACACUGAGGUGCGAAAGCGUGGGGAGCAAACAGG